Long non-coding RNA from Eriocheir sinensis (Chinese mitten crab), 333 nucleotides. RefSeq lists it as uncharacterized. Lineage: Eukaryota; Metazoa; Arthropoda; Malacostraca; Decapoda; Varunidae. The record is from RefSeq and is a predicted model, not a curated record. The transcript has 3 exons.
UCAGUGGCCGAAGUUGCUCAGGAGUCUGUGGUGUGCUCGUGUGUCUUUCGUAAUACCGCUGCUUGCUCCUGUGUCCUGCGCGAUGGCGAGUGGACCUUCGUACUCCUUGAGGGAUCGGCGUGAAGAGUGUGGCGCGCGUUUGUCUCCUGACGGCGGUGAUGGAGGCCAGGCCGCGGCGCUGAUGGAGGCGGGAAAGGCUGCAGGUGAGGCCCACGCGCCCCUCACACAUCAGCGGGGCGGCAGUUCCACAUAAUGGCAGUUUUCACGGUCGAAGGCACGGCGGGGAUCCUCCUCCUCUGACCCUCGCCUCCCCUCGCACGUGUCUCCAACCAG